Molecule: transfer RNA, 89 nt
Filed under: Acidimicrobiia bacterium
Lineage: Bacteria; Bacillati; Actinomycetota; Acidimicrobiia
Also listed under: 1 other name
Description: tRNA-Ser
Rfam family: tRNA
About the family: Transfer RNA (tRNA) molecules are approximately 80 nucleotides in length. Their secondary structure includes four short double-helical elements and three loops (D, anti-codon, and T loops). Further hydrogen bonds mediate the characteristic L-shaped molecular structure. tRNAs have two regions of fundamental functional importance: the anti-codon, which is responsible for specific mRNA codon recognition, and the 3' end, to which the tRNAs corresponding amino acid is attached (by aminoacyl-tRNA synthetases). tRNAs cope with the degeneracy of the genetic code in two manners: having more than one tRNA (with a specific anti-codon) for a particular amino acid; and 'wobble' base-pairing, i.e. permitting non-standard base-pairing at the 3rd anti-codon position.
Source: RNAcentral
GGAGGGAUGGCCGAGCGGACGAAGGCGGCAGUCUCGAAAACUGUUGGGCCUCAUUAGGGGUCCCGUGGGUUCGAAUCCCACUCCCUCCG